CCUACGGGAGGCAGCAGUGGGGAAUAUUGCUCAAUGGGCGAAACCCUGAUGCAGCGACGCCGCGUGAAGGAAGAAGUAUUUCGGUAUGUAAACUUCUAUCAGCAGGGAAGAAAAUGACGGUACCUGACUAAGAAGCCCCGGCUAACUACGUGACAGUUGCCGCCGCAAUACGUCGGGGGCAAGCGUUAUCCGGAUUUACGGGGUGUAAAGGGGGCGUAGGCGGUUUAGCAAGGCAGAAGUGAAAGCCCGGGGGUCAACUCCGGGACGGCUUUUGAAACUGUUGGACUAGAUUGGAGGAGAGGUAAGUGGAAGGCCUGGUGUAGCGGUGAAAUGCGUAGAUAUCAGGAGGAACACCGGUGGCGAAGGCGGCUUACUGGACUCUAAAUGACGCUGAGGCACGAAAGCGUGGGUAGCAAACAGGAUUAGAUACCCCUGUAGUC
Molecule: ribosomal RNA, 440 nt
Filed under: uncultured bacterium
Lineage: Bacteria
Description: partial 16S ribosomal RNA
Rfam family: Bacterial small subunit ribosomal RNA
Source: RNAcentral